RNAcentral lists this transfer RNA (63 nucleotides) under Hydatigera parva. RNAcentral's name for it is "tRNA-Gln". RNAcentral also lists the same sequence under 1 other name. The record is from RNAcentral. Lineage: Eukaryota; Metazoa; Platyhelminthes; Cestoda; Cyclophyllidea; Taeniidae.
UUUAAUGAGGUGAUGUAUGCAUUUUACAUUUUGGAUGUAAAGGUGAUUAGUAAUCCGUUAAAU